GACGAACGCUGGCGGCGUGCUUAACACAUGCAAGUCGAACGCUGAAGCUCAGCUUGCUGGGUGGAUGAGUGGCGAACGGGUGAGUAACACGUGAGUAACCUGCCCUCUUCUUUGGGAUAACGCCCGGAAACGGGUGCUCAUACUGGAUAUUCACUGAUUCUCGCAUGGGGGUUGGUGGGAAGGUUUUUUCUGGUGGGGGAUGGGCUCGCGGCCUAUCGGCUGGUUGGUGGGGUGAUGGCCUACCAAGGUUUUGACGGUUGGCCGGCCUGAGAGGGUGACCGGGCACAUUGGGACUGAGAUACGGCCCAGACUCCGACGGGAGGCAGCAGGGGGGAAUAUUGCACAAUGGGCGAAAGCAUGAUGCAGCGACGCCGCGUGAGGGAUGGAGGCCGGCGGGUUGUAAACCUCUUUCGCUCAUGGUCAAGCCGCAGCUUUGGGUUGUGGGGAGGGUAGUGGGUAAAGAAGCGCCGGCUAACUACGU
RNAcentral lists this ribosomal RNA (481 nucleotides) under uncultured bacterium. RNAcentral's name for it is "partial 16S ribosomal RNA". It matches the Rfam family "Bacterial small subunit ribosomal RNA", at positions 28 to 506 of the family's 1533-position model. The record is from RNAcentral.